GGGACCUUUUAAUUAAUCAGCAUAUUUGUACAUAAGAACAUUCAAGGAAUUUGAGUACUUAGAAUACUUGGAGCUAUAUUUUAACAGCUAUUGAUCAUUGAGACAGCUUUUAAAACAAUGGUUAGUAUGACAUUUUUGAGAUUGUUCUGGUUAGUUGUAGGAAGAAUUAUUUCAUAAGAUAGAUGUUAAAAGUGUUCUUUGAAUACACAUACUAUUUUGAAUAGUCAAUUUGUACAAUUUUAUGUCUGAUGGGUAAAUAAUUUUUAAUGUCCCACCCCUCCUAAUGGUGAAGUGGUUAGGACUGUAUAAAUAAAAGACAAUGCUUUUGGAAAAAAUUUUCAAUAAAUCAGAUGUAAGCACUACCUAGUAAGUCUACUUUCAAAUCAAAUCAUAAUUAAUGACAGGUGCCUAUUAUAAUGCCAUACAGAUAUUUUAAUGCUCACAAGUUAUUUUUCG
Molecule: long non-coding RNA, 456 nt
Filed under: Homo sapiens (human)
Lineage: Eukaryota; Metazoa; Chordata; Mammalia; Primates; Hominidae
Description: HSALNT0186439
Source: RNAcentral